Triticum dicoccoides is the source of this 4812-nucleotide long non-coding RNA. RefSeq lists it as uncharacterized. The transcript is spliced from 8 exons. The record is from RefSeq and is a predicted model, not a curated record. NCBI's taxonomy places the organism in Eukaryota, Viridiplantae, Streptophyta, Magnoliopsida, Poales, Poaceae.
AUCACCCGCGUCUCGCGGCUCUUGCCCCACCCCAGCCACCAAACAUGGAACCCUAGCCUCCUUUCUCCUUCCCCUCGACCCCCACGAGCCACUGCACCCCUCCCUCUCCCUUCCGUGCGUGUGCUCGGCCAAGGACGCCGCCGUCGCCCUCGGCUCCUCCUCCACCACCUCGCCUUUUUCUCCUCCUCGCCUUCCCAUCGCUCGCGUGCAUGUCGCCGCCGUCGGAGAACAGGAUUGUGCGGGUCGCUUCCUCCUUUUCCUCCCGCCGGAUCUAAGGCGUGCGGUCGUGGAGCCGAGCCUCUCCGGUGGCGGCGGCAAAGGGUGACCACAUGGAUCGGUCCUUGCAGGAGAGAGAGAGAGAUGCGAGAGAGGGAGAGAAUGAAGGAGAGGAGGGAGGCCCGGCAGCGACGGGAGAGGGUCACCGACCGGCGCCGGCGAGGUCAGGUGCGACCUGGUGGUUGGUGGUGGCUUGAUCCACUCCUGGAUCCUUCUUCCACUUCUCCACUGCCUAAUAUGGGGCACCGGUCAGGGAGCACGGGAUCGAUGUUCUGCGGCUCGAGUGUGUGAUCAUAUUGGGUCUCCAGGAUCUUGUGCUCCUACUAUUCUUGUCUGAACUUUGUUAAUUUUAUCAGAAGAAGCAGGAGCAAAGCAUAUGCUUGCUCUUCCAUGGUGAGUUUGGAGUUUACCCUCUGUCCCUGGAAGUUGAAAUUGGCUAUCAUGCAAGCGAUGGCCUUUUCUUAGCCAUGGAAUACAAAGGAAGCUACAAAAUUGUCAUAUCGCAUUUUCUUGAGAUAUCCGUCAAGGGAAUCUGAUUGUACCCAAAUGUGAUAGGUCCCACUCUUCGGCAGCUUGAAUUCGAAGUUGUAGUGGCUGAACAAGACUAGGAUCAUGUUUAUGAUGCGUUUUCCAUCGAUACAGAGGUAUGAAUCAUAUGGUUGACAUUGGUAAAAACUCUCAGUGAGCGCCCUACCUCCUGAAUUUAAUAGUGAGAAGCUGUAUAUUACUUUUAGGUGUAAACAAAUAGUAAAAGAUGAGGUAGCCGUCUCCUACUGAAUUAAUAGUGAGAAGCCUACCAGCUGAAUUUUAUUCUUACAUGAUAUGUGAUAUGAAGUAUUAUUUAUAUUUACUAUUUAGGAUGUAUGCAUAUAUGUUACUGGCUAGCAUGAUACCGUCUCCUACUGAAUUAAUAGUGAGAAGCCUACCAGCUGAAUUUCAUUCUUACAUCAUAUAUGAUAUGAAGUAUUAUUUAUAUUUACUAUUUAGGAUGUAUGCAUAUAUGUUACUGGCUAGCAUGAUACUGUUAGCGGAAGCUGUAGUGCUUUUUAUGGUCGACGGUGGCAUGCCGCUCCAAGCCACACUGCUUUCCAUCAACGCCGACAACCACAACAGGGAUGGAUCCAGCCGCCAAGAGGCACGGCGGUGGCCUGCUCCCAAGCUGCAGGCUUAUUUGGUUCUGAUCGGAAGAUAAUUGGACCAGCUAAAGGAGAACUUUCCUGAACUAUUUCUUAUUUGUUUGUGCAACCAGGAUUAUUUGGUUCUGAUCAGAAGAUAAUUGGACUAGCUAAAGGAGAACUUUGCUGAACUAUUUCUUUAUUUGUUGGUGUAACCAUGCUUAUUUGCUUCUGAUAAUUGGACCGGCUAAAGAAGAACUUUGCUGAACUAUUUCUUUAUUUGUUUGUGCAACCAGGCUUAUUUGGUUCUGAUCGGUUUCUUGCCUAGGUUGUAUAAUGUCUCCUCUCUGCUCUCGUUCCCUCCUUACCUUCACCCAUCUUCAGGCGCAAAUGGAGCUGCGGCGGUGACGUCAUCACCUGGUAUUGCACUUCUACCCCCUGGCUUGAACCUGAAACCUCCAUGUGCUCUGUAGGUGUAGAUUCAGACGUCACCAAAGCCCUUUUUGUGGGAUUUACAAAAUUCAUUCUGUAACAUUGUAAAUGGGUGUAAAUUCAGACGUUGCCAAAGUCAAGUUUGUCCUACUGAUUUCCUUGGUAUUCCAUAUAUUAUGUGCCCUGUAGGCCUUAUUGCUUUCCUAGCUUGGUAAGUUAGUAUGCAUGAAUUUUGUGGGUGUGUGUGCAUUUGGAUGCUGGCUUAGAUGUCAUGCUACUUAGCUCAUUAGUUUGCUUCCCAUCUUGCUUCCAUGUUUUUUCUUCACCAUGUUAUCUUUAGCCUUCCACGCCACUGAUUUGGUUGGUUUAUUUCCUUGCAUAGUUCUCCUUGUUUGCCACUAAUAAAUACAACAAUUAUGUGAUGUCUGUAUUUAUAAUUUUAGCUAAUGUGUCUCUUUUAUUAUUAUUAUCAUCCUCUAUGGUUAAUCACACAUUUCAUUGUUGUGCUUCGAAGUCUAUGGUGUAGUACAUGCAACAUGAUACAAUCCGCAAUGGUUAAUAAAACUAAAUAUGAUAGCAAAUGAAAACUAUUGUGAUGCAUUGAACUAUGAUGGACACAUAACAAAAGGCGUGCAAUAACUCUAACUUUAUUCCACUGACGAGAUGCGUCAAAUUUAUUGUACAGUAUGUUCUAAAUUUAUUCCACUGACAAGAUGUGUCAAAUUUAUUCAAUGUUUUUUGUAUUGUGGUCGAUGCAGUCCCAUUCUUCAACCACAAAACAUUAGGGAUUUCAUUUCUUAUGUCUUCGGGUGCAAAAGUUGCCUUAUAUGAUGCAUCAAGAGCUUGGUGAACUGUUUUGCGUUUUGUUGUUUUUCAGUAUAGAAAAUAUAUUAGUCCAAUUUUUUUCCCUUGACAAAGCUUCCAUUUCUUAUGAUUCAUUAACUGAAGAGCCAUGAUUGAUUUCCCAAUAUACAAUUUUUAUACUGUUUUUGCUAGAGCAUUGUGCAAUGUGGAUAAGCUGAUCGCUUCUGUUUUGGUUACAGGGAAAUGCCUCUUCCUUUUCUAGCAUUUGCAUUUGCUUACAGGGAAAUGCAAGCGGGACCUGUUUUGGUUCGAGUAAUUAUGCUAGGAAAUGUAGUCAGAGGUUUAGCCUACAAAAUUAAUCUGUACACGCUAUGAAGUAAUGGAACAUUAUAUGUUUUUGUAGCAGACCAAAAUAACAAAAUUAGUGAAGAUCCUAACAACAAUAAUCGAAUGAUUCAUAUAGAAAUCAGGUUUCCCUCUCAGGUGGGGAGGGACAGAUGUGGCUGCAUCAACGAAGUGACAGAAGAAGGCUGCGUUGGUUGUACUCCGGGCACUGCCGCCUCCAUCCCUGCUCCAUCAGGUUUUCUAUUAAAGGGAAUUAAACCAUGGAUAUUUUUUCAUCACAUACAUGGAUUUAUCGUGCCUCUGCGCCAUUUGGCUCAACGGGUCAUCAGACACGAUCACAACAUCAUAUAUAUUGAGUGACUAUGAACUUCGAUACAGACAAAAAAGAAAGAUCAUGAACAAUAAAAUAUAUAUUUGCUCAAAUUUUUGUUUUCAAUGGCAAGCAAAUAAUUUGUUUACUUAGGAAAUGAUGUUUCAUGUCACACACACCAAAGUAAGAAACAGAUUCCUUCCUCUUUACUUGCAGAGAUCAACAAAUUAUUGCGCUUACCUGAUACAAUUAUUUUCUUUUGUUUGGAGCGUUCCCUGUGAUCGUCAGGGAUAUCCUGCAGAACAAUACGGAAAUCCAUCAUCGGCAAAAAUAUCGAGUAGAAAUCAAGCACGCGUAAUAGGAGUGCAUAUGGACGAUCUGUCUACUCUCUGGUCUAUUUUUAAACAGACAUGUUGGCCUUUUCUUACAUAAUCAGCCUACUGUUUCUAUUCCUCGCAGGUCAUUUCACUUUCUGUCAAUAGGCAUUGAUCUCCAUGUUAACUUGGUGUAAGGUAGUCUUGACGAUGUGUUGAGGCGGUCUGCUCAGUGACCGUUAGUAAGGUUGCUCAUCGGCAAGCGAAAGAGCUUUGUGCAUUCUUGCAUGGUUAAGGAAGAAUUUGUUAUUUGAAGUAUGCACUACAGAUAUUGCAAGUCUACUUCAGUAAUGCUGUGGCAUGCCGCAAAACAACCACAUUUUGCUGCUGUGAUUUGGUCCAUCCUGUGCAUUUCAGUUCCUGGUGAUCUCCAAUGUUUGUCAGCUAAUGCCACCAGGAGGGCUGCCCACCCAAGACUUGUAAUGUGGGCAUCGGUACUGUCCUUUGACAUAUUUGGAAGUCACUGUCGUUUCAACUCCGUCAGGUGCCAGGCCAAGGAUGUUACUCAUCGCUGCUGUGAAGACCUUGCGGAUCUCUGGACAAACAACCACAAUGGGAGCAUUGUUUGGUGCAGCACUAACAAUAGCCACUACAAUGGCCAGUGAAGCUACAAAUUAACAGCUGGAGCAAGGAAAAGGACCUUCGAGAGUAUGGAAUAAUGAAUACAAUGAUAAUCUGACACCUAAUAAGGAUCAAGAGAACAGAGAUGCUAAGAGGCAACAUUUUGGGUUUAAGGAUAUAAACAACAUGGCUUACGAGGAUUUGGACUGCUGUUAUUUUAGUUCCACUCUUAAAUAUUUUGGUUCUUGAAGGCCUGACUUUCCUGGUGGAGUAGGAGCAAAAUAAUUCAGAGGCUUUAAAGCUGCUGCACUUUAGUAGUUAGGAUCAAUUCUUUGUUUUGGUUUGAAAUGCUCCCCAAUUCCUCCUAUUUGAUUGAUUCAUCUGAUGGUCAUUUGUCAGGCAAAUAAACAGAAGGCAUAUGUAUUGUUUUGAGUGAAGCCAUCCAUACAAGUCGAUAUAUUAAUUAUCCCAUAUGUGGAAUUCAAGAUAUAGAGAAAUGUUAUUGUUCUUCUGCUAAUUGGUUGCUUGACCAAAUGUACUAUAAAUGAUGUUAUUAUUGUACCAGAUAUAAAGAAAUGUUAUUAUUCUUCAAUUA